GAUUAUGGGUAUAAGAUCAUCUAUCGAAGGGUCUGAAAGGAACAGGUAAAUGAAUAUGGAAACGGGUUAGAGAAGGCAAGGUUUGGUGAAUGUGAAAGCUAUGUGAAUAUUUUAAAAGGGCAAAAUUCAAAGAACAAGUCAAUUGCCAAUGAAGAAUAGUAUGGGGAGGGUACUUUUCUUUGAAUGCAAUAAUGGGUUGAAAUGGAUAGGAUAUAAUGAAUCUGUUCAACUGGGAAAGAAGAAAAUGGGCAUAUAUAAAGAUCAAGAAGAGAGCGGAAGGGCAAAAGGGGUUGAUCUAUGUGUCAAGCUGACGUAGGAAAUGAAGUCCUUAUCCAUGGUGGUGAAUUUUGGAGGCGAAGUGUCACCUGGCAAUUUUUGAUUUCUCUAGGAGCCAAGUCCUUUUGAGGUGUGGACAAUAGAAAGGGAGAGAUUUGGAGAGUUAUCCGACCCUUGGGAGUUGGGUUGGUGACUCUGUCCAAGCCUUUUCUCGCAGAGAAUCUUUUAAGAUUUUCAAAGGAUAUGCCUCGUCUUUCCUGUUAUUCACUUGAGGCCUAGUUUAAGUUAUACUAUUCCAAAUUGUCCCUCAAACUAUGAAUUUCAACAUGCUACUCCUUAUCUAUAUUUAGAUUAGGUUGUUACAUGAAUUUAUCUUGAAAAUCACUUAAAUAGAUGAGUUAGAAAACUUAUGUCCUAAGUAAUUUCCACUAGGAUUUACAUUAUUGUAUAUGAAUUCUGUUAUUUUAUUGUGCGCUUAUAUAAAAAGAAGAACGUUGAAUCUUUUUUCUCUCUAUAACAGGGUUUCGAUUACUUGGUCACAAAAGUGUACGAUCGUUUCAAUAGCAAACUAAGAUGUAGCUAUAUUCCCUUACUUUCUUUUACCACAUUUUUUUUGAAAAAUUGGAUCAGUUAACUUAUAAUUAUUACAAGUGAAUUCUAUUGAAAAUAAUAGGAGAAAAUUUUAAAAAAAAUUAAUCUUCACAGACAAGCCUUUUAUCUCUUAUUUACGUCUCCCAACCAUAUCAUAUUAUUUACCUCUAUGGUUAGAUUUAACUAUUUCUUCUCAUGAGGGAUUACUACUACAUAGAGUGAGAUUUUUGUAUUCUUUUUCUACAUAUUUGACGUGACUGGAUGUUUUGUGAUGCCGCCAAAUAUCCUGAAAAGUUAUUAUGCAUGUAAAAAUAUCAUAUUAUCAUUAAAAAAUAAUAAACGUAAAAUGCUACCAUUUUUUGGUAAUUUUCCAAGUGUUUUUGUUGGAUUUUUAACGUAUUACAUAAGAAUUGCUCGCUAGUGUUUCAUUGUUGUACAUAAAAAUUUUUCACCUUAAUGAAUUCAAUCCAAUGAAAGAACAAAAAAGAAAAAGCCAUCAAUUAGGGUAGAAAUUAUUUGAAAUGAUCGAGACGAAGAGCAGCAAUAACAAAACAAUUGGGGUUAAAGGUAGAAAACGUAAAAUCAGAGGGCGAAAUCAAAAUCGAGUGAAACAAAAGUGCUGAUGUGGAAGAAUUUGGUGACGUGUAUUUUUGUCAUCCAGUAAAACAAACAGUGUCUAUCCAAUAAAUGAAUUAAUUACAAAAAAAAAAAAAAAAAAAAAAGCAAAGGAGCUCGAGGUCGAGGCAAAUACCCUGUGGCUUCUCAUCCGCUGCCGGUGGGCGCGGUCUGGAUUUGACGUCAUCAAGCUAAUUUUCUGUAACUGUCAUUUGAAGAUGGUGGAUAAGGAUUCUCUGGUACUCUGAACACGUGUCUAUCAUGCACCGCUGCAUCAGUCCUUGAUGAUCUAGGAUCCACAUUCCACACACUUGAAGCCCCAUUUCCAGGAAAAUUCGACUUUUCAAAAGCUGUGCAGCCCUUUGAAGUUCUGAAAUUGAAAAAUCAAUUUUUUGAUUACUCAGUCGCAAUGGUCAACAGCAGAAGAGAAAACGAAAGGAAAGGUAAACGAAUCAAUUAAUAGUGGUUAAACUGAUCAAGUAAAGUUGCAAUUGACAUGUUAAAUUGUAGUACAAUAUUAAAAAGUGGGUUCUUCUAUUUUGUUUCCCAAAGACAAAGAGCGUAUUCAACAACCUCUCUAGUUGUUUGCAAAAGUUUCCAUUUUUAAGCUGAAGUUUACAUAAUUCAGGUGGUAAAUAUUUGAAAUUCACAUUUUUAAGCUGAAGUUUACGUAUCUGGCAUCAUGCUUUUUUACCAACUUAGGUUCAAACCUCUCGUGGAACAUUUGUCCAUUGCACAGGACCUGUAUAAUGCGUUUUAUCCAUCCGUGUGAUUGAUAGGUUAUUGCAUGAGAUGGGAUUUAUCCGGUGCGCAGUUUUGGAUAACCAAUUUGAGUUCCCUUGUCACAAAAUAAAAAUAAAAAAGUAAUCGGUAACAAUUACUUGAUCCGGUCCUUUCUCUUAAAUUGUGGCUUUCAUUUGAGAUCAGAGAAAAUCUUUUACUUUUACCUUUUUUUUUACUCAAUUUGAUGAGAAGAAAAUUUUUUUUUACUACAGUAGCUGCAAGCCUACAAUAUGAAUCUACCCUUAGGAUAUACUGUACAUUGGUUCUUACUUUUCCAUGGAUGUCUCUUUAUGCAUAGUGACUUCAAUAAUUCGAAUUGACUUUUAUCUCUCUUCUCGAGUUAGUUAUAAGUUAUUAGCCUUUAAUAAAAUAAGGGCAAAUUUUAUAUUUUUAUUUUUUCAACGUUUUCGUAAGACCACAUUGAAUUCGAUAAAGGAGCGUGGACCACAAAAGCGUUCCGUAAACUAAAAGCCAUCUCUUGUGUAGACCGCGUGGUCCGAACUGCAGAAGUGAACUUGGUCCAAGACACAAAAACCCAUGCAUGUCUCCUUGUAGUUGUCUCGUCCAAACAAAAAUAAUUUUCACGUGUAUUUUACUAAGUCCUGAGUUAACGCGACAAGUCUAGUUGAUAAAACAUCUUAACAGGUCAUGAGUUUAACUCAUCAAGAAAGUGAGUUGGAAUCACCGUUGAUCAUCUUUUUAAUAAUUAAAAAAAAGUCAUACUCACAAAGAAGAAUUAAGCAAAACUACAAGGAACUUUCGAAGAAUGAAGCAAAAACAAGAAAAAGAAGAAAAGUUUUCAUACUCACAAAGAAGGAAUUAGGAGAGCAUCAAGUUUAGAAUUAAUCAUUUGUACUCAAGGUAGAUAUCCACCUACAUUUUCAACGCAGCAAGUAUGAAAGUUAGGUAAUAUAAAUACGUAGAUCUCAAGGAACCACCAUUAGGAAGUUGAGAGGAAAAAAAUGGCAUACAAAACAAAGUACAGUAUGGUCUAAAAAAAUGCGUCGAAUUUGACUAUCAAUCAAUUCAAAAAAAAAAAAAAAAAAGACUAUCAUCAAUUGCUUCCUACUGUAUUUUGGUUAUGCUGAGUUAUGAUGGUCCAAACUCCAUGUUAAUAUCAUGCAAAACAAAGUCCUAGGACUAGAGAAACUAAGGAACUUUUAUAGUAGAACAAAACGCAAAUUGCAAGUGGUACAAUUUACCAAUAAAACGCUAAGAUAUUUCUUCCAUCACCUAGUCGGCAGAGGUAGGUAGUAGUGUUUUGUGCAUUCAUGGUAGAUGUUCUUAAUUGUGUGAGGUGGGUAGCUUUUGACUUUUGAACGGAUUUAUAUGUUAGAGAGGACUCUUCCUUUUCCUGGUAGUUGAUGCUACGACAAAAUUCCAUCGGAUUGGCUUUCAAUACAUGGAUUAUGAUCAGGUUAAAUCUAAAUAAUGUUUUCUGCACUCGUGUUUCAGUCUUUGUACCUUAGCUUUAUGAUGGAAUGGGGUUUUGCUAACAUUUCCUCUCUAUGUAUAGCAAUGGAGAACCUCUGAAUUAGAAGCAGGAUUCCAUUCUUGAUGAUAAACGUACGUAAGGACAUUUUUUAUUGGUGAGUGCUCCAAAUUUUUUGUGCGAAGUAGCAGAAGCAUUUCUGUUACACAGGCAAAAUUAGGUUAUAUGUUUUCCAAAUUUGGCGUCAUAAACUACAGAUGGUUACGAUAGUUAGAGGGAAAGGCUAGUUACAGCUAAUCUGCUUGUAAAAGAUUGAAAAUUCUUAAUUCUAGAAAAAAAAAAAAGAAAAAAGCUUCAUCUCGUUCUUGCUAUACUUAUGUAUAGUGCACUAAUACUUUGUGCAUCCUAUUGUACCAUAUUCUAAUCUGUUAUUUGAGAAAUUCGGUUUUUGAUGUAUGUAAUUCAUCAAGAUUAUGUCCAAGAAUUCUUUUUGUCCCAAAGCGUGAAAAGCCAGCAACUUUUUUCCCUUUUAUCUUGCCCUUGAAGCGGAUUUGGUCCCUUAGGUUCUGCAUCUCUCCGUUCACCCUUUAAACAUCCACAUCUAUAAUACUUUCUUCGCAGCAAAAGCUUAGCUCCCAAAAAAAAAAAUGAAAAAAGUGAGAUUGACAGUUUUGGUAUGUGAAAGUGGACCUCAAUAUCGCGAUCAGAUCGUUGGUUAAUGGCAUUCCUGUUCACGCCUACUGAAAACUGAACUCUCUCAUCCAUUGGUUUAUCAAUGUUAUGAUAUGGUUUGCCUUAUUAAUUAUAUAUCUGUUUGCAUGUCAAGACUCAAGCCAACAAGUAGAGGAUUCAUUAGCUCGACGUACCGCUGCGUGGAGAAUUGGAUAUGCAGUGGCAUGCAGAGGCAAAUUUAGGUUAUAUUUGACUUGAAAUACUUAUUAGAAGCCGCAAAUGGCAAUAUAGGCAAAAGAGCUGAUGAUAGUCGAAAAGGGAGAACAAUCUAAAAUUGUGUGUGAGAAAUACCAAAAACACACUUGAGAGACCAGAAAUUAUUCCGAGUGCCACAGUUAUAGAGCUUUAUAUAUCUAACUAAAUGUAUGUUAUCUAAAAUGAGACAUAAUGGACGGUGUAAGUCAAGAUGAUACUCCAAUGCUUCACAUAAUAUUACUUUUCUAUUUAUCAGAAUUACAUUUACGUUGACAGAAGCAGAAUUUUUUUCCUGACAUGCAAGUUUCCUGUCUAAGAUUCCUGGCAAAAGUGCAUGCGUCCAAAUAAUCACUAGCAUAGCAAGAAACAGAAUAAAACAGCAGUUCUCCAGUUUCCUAUUUAAUCAGUGAGAAGUGAGAACCAUCAAUCGAUGCAACUUUAGGACGAGGGGAAUCAAAUAGUCGUAGUUGUUGUUGUUUUUGUUGAGAGAGAUGGGGUAAAUGAUGAGAUCAAUGUCUUGAUAAAGAAAUAUUUGGACAUGAGAUUAUUUGAAAUAUUAUUUAAAAUAAGUAUUAUAGUAUAUAUUUUUGGAAUACAAUGUAUGUGAGAUAAAAAAUUAAUUGAAAUAAUAAAAAGUUGUUUGAAAAUUGUGUUUGCAAUAAUUUUAUUAUCCAAACAUUCCGUUAGUUUCGUGAGUAAAGAAUUAUGUCCCACAUUAGUUCGAGAUGUAAAGAAAGAGCGGUUAAUAUGUAAGUAAGAACUCAAAAUUUAAUAGUUUAAACUUUUGAGUCAGAGUUGAAUUCUUGACUUAUAUAUUGGACUCUUUGAUCGGGUCUAUAGAGGUGUUUUUCCCUAACAAAUGGUAUUAGAGCUUCUAGUUGCAAGAUUAAAUUACUCAUGGGCAAGUGAAUUUGGACUCUUUGAUGGACUCUCUCGAAAUGUUUCUCUCUAACAAGUGGUAUCAAAGUUUCUAAUUGUAAGAUUAGGUUAUUCAUAGGCAAGUGGAUUUUUUUGGUGAAAAUUCUCUUUUUGGUGGUGCGAAACUGGGUUACUCAUGAGCAAAUGGAUUCUUCUUGUAAAAAUUCUUUUCUUGAUGGUAGAUCAAAGUGUUAAGGAAUUUGGUUACGAAAUUGAGUUGCAUGGGCAAGUGGAUUCUUCCGGUGAAAAUUCUCUUUUUGGUAGUGGAUUGAAGUGUUAAGGAGUUUAGUUCCGAGACUAAAUUACUGAUGGGCAAAUGAAUUUUUCUCACAAUUGAGCCGAUGAAUAUUUUUUCUUGGUGGUGAACAGAAGUGUUAAGAAAUUUGGUUCCUAUUGAAUCAAGUGCACCAUGAGUUUGACAAGAGGUUCAGUACUUUUAGACCAAAGAGUCAAGAGUUGGCAGGGGUCUAGAAUUUAGCUUGGACGUUAAAGAAAAAUGGAUCCAUAAUUGGAAGAAUAGAUGACUUUAAGUGUUAAGGUGAGUUUGCAUGGAGUAUUAAAGUGGCAGAGCCAAGGGUUGGUAGGGGUCAAAAUCCAAUUUGGAUGUUGAAAAAUAGUGGAUCCAUGAUUAAGAGAAGAUCAUCUCAAGUUGGAUGCUGUGAGAGGUUACUCACAAAGGGUUGUAAACUUAGGUUUAAUAGAAGAGGUUACUCGUGAAGGUUUGGAUGCUGAAAAAAAGUGGGUCUGUGAUUGAGAGAAGAGAUGACUUUAGGUGUUAAAGUGGAUUGGGAGAACUGCACAAAUAGUCCCUCACAUAUUGCAAAUGUGAAAAUUUAGUCCCUCAGAUCAAAAAUGAUCAAUUUUAGUCCUUAUCAAAUAAAAAAUGAUCAAUUUGAGUCCCUUUUCAUUUUUCCGACUGAUUUUUGCCCGGAAUAUCUCACGCGCACACCACGUGGCCAACUUUUCAAGGGUAAAAAUGCCAAACCACUUAUCUGUUGACCAAAACCAAAAUGUAAAGGACGAAUACUUCCCGAAAUUCUUCUUCUUCUUCAUUUCAACCAAACCCAAAAGCUGAGCCUCAUCUCCAUGGCAGAACCACCAACUUGUAAUUGCGGUGUACCAGCUAGGGUGAAGACGUCAUGGACAACUGAAAAUCCAGGAAAGAGGUUCUAUGGUUGCGCUUACUACGAAGUAAGUGUGCCUGAUUUCUGUUUCUUUUUUCUUUUAGAAAAUGUGAAAUUUGAAGAGGUAAUUUUGAACAGCAUAAUGGUGGCGGCGGCUGUGGCUAUUUCAAGUGGUAUGAUACAAACAGUUGCGAGAGGUGCGAUAAAUUAGUGAGACACACAAGAAGAUUGGCGAAGAGAUUAAGAGAGUUGGAGGCAAAGAUGGAAGAAACAAGACGCAAGGAGAAAAUGAUGAAAUUGUUGCUGUUUGCGGCCUUUGUUGUAUUCAUAGUGCAGAAUUUAUUGAGCAAAGAUUGAGUUGUAACUGGCAUUUGUUGGUGCAGGCGGUGAACUGGGAACUGGGUGGCUUUUAUUUGUUGUACUUAGGUUGUGUUACGUUUAGUGGCCCUGUUGAUUGUACAAAUGGGAGUUGGAAUGCAAUUAUGAAGCUUAAGUUCUUUCUGGUAUAUUGUGAUUUUUUCUUGAAUAUGAGCUUACAGCAUAAGAUGGAAUAAAAGUCUAACUUAAAAGAUAAUGCAGAUGAUAAUGGCGAUAUUAUAAGCGAAGACCCUCAUGUUAGGGAAAAAUUUUCUUGAUCAAGUCCCAUAAGUUAAACCUCACCUGCUGAGAGGGAAUAAUGGUAUAGUAUAGGUUACAAAAAACAUUUCCAACUACAGGUUAAAAAAACACACUCGUGCAUAUCAAAUACAUUCUAAAGCCUAAAAUAUAUAUUUUUAAAAAAAAACUGUUUUAGGGUGGCUAUUAAAUAUUGGAAAGAGAGGAGGACAAGCAAACCACUAGAGUGAGCCAACAUGGCCGCAUGUUAAGUCUUAAUGCAGAGUUGGUAAGUAAAAGAAUUUGUCAAAACUGCUGCUAUACCGAAGCAGCAGCAGCAGGAGAGGGAAGAAAGUCGAAAGGGGAAGAAGGCAUUAACACAAGAUUUCAUAUUGCAGUCCACCAUGUCUAGUCAGCCAAAUAUGAGACCAACAACAUUAAAACCUGCCCUGCCAAAAACUUUUUAAGGGUUAAGCCAUAUCAGAACUUGGCAAGGUUUCAACAACAUUAACUAACUACUCAAUAUUUGUGUCAGUAAACAAAAUUGGAGACAACAUAAUUGUAUAUUCAUUCUUCAGUCCUGCCAAUGUCAUCUGCUGAGGGUUCAACUAACCAAUAAUCAGUCCUUUCAAAAAUAAGAAGAGCAUGCAUUCCAUUGCAAUGAAAAAAAACAGUACAUAACCGAGCCAAGUACAUUCAUUACAAUACGCCUGUUAUAAAAAAAAAAUGCAAUGAACUAAGAAAUCAAUUCCAUUGCUCCAAAAAAAGGUCUGCUGAAGUCAAAUACAAGACAAAAAGGCGAAAAAUAAUCCAUUUGCAGCACUCUUUUGUGGAUUCUUUAUUAUAUCCACCAUUUGCAGCACUCUUUUGUAGAUAUCUUUGCAGUCAUCCCUCUUUGCAAUAACAGGCCAGUCAUCUAGGCCUUUUUAGCCCUCUUUGCAGCACUUUUAGAAGUAGAUAUAUUUGCAGUAUUCUUGGGCCUCUGAUACAAACAAAACAAUGAAGAGGCCAUUACUUACAGUCAAUAGCAAUUUUUGCAGUCUUAAAAGUAGAUAUCUUUGCAGUCUCUUUAGACUAUGCAUGUAGUAGACAAUACUUACAGCCAAUCCAGGUGGUUCCCAUGGGUGUCUCUUAUAGAGAGAGGCCAAUGUUGAAUCACAACUACUUCGAGUGUGUCCAAAUCUCCGACAUACACCACAUCUGUACUUGACUUUCUUACCCUAACAAUUGGCAACCAGAAAUUCAAGUAAAUAAAUAAUAGUAUAGAAAGAAGUCAACAUGCUAUUAUUAGUAUGAACAAGUAGAGAAACAUGAACUGGAGAUGUUGCAUUCUUUGUUGUCAAUGUUGAAGUAGGUGGUUGGCUGGUUGUAGGUUGAUCUGGGAUUUGACUGAUGAGAUCAAACAAGACUUGGUCAUUUGUAUCAGUCUCCAAGCCACUUGCACCAAAAACUGCUUCAGGUGUGAAAUUGGACUGCUGAGGUUGGGACUGCUUGUUUGCACCAGGAUUCAUAGUGUUGGGAGUCUGCUGUUGUGAUUGAGAGCUACUUGUAAUCGCAGUAGCUUGUUGCUGGACAUUCUCUUGAUCAUGACUGCUUGGACACUUCCUACUAUUGUGGCCCUUCUGUUUACACUUUCUGCACUUAUAAUCCAUUAGACCAACUCUAGACAGUCUCUUUGUUUGUCCUCGAGAAGUUGUUGUAGCUGGUGGCUCAUCUGGCUCUCUUCUUCUUACCUUCUUUGGCCGGUCAGGAAGCUUGAUGGUUUCAGGUGGUAGGAUAGGCCCCUGUUUCAAAUCCUUCCACAAAUGCUCACCAUUGAGAGGAUAUAUUAUAGGCCCAUAUGCCUUCAUAUAGGCCUCUUUUGAGUAGCAUUCAUGAACAAAGUUCUCGGGAGACUCCUUUGUCAAAGCAAUAGCACUUAUUGCAUGAGCACAAGGAAUGCCAUUUAGUUCCCACCUUCUACAACUACAAGUUCUGCUAGCCAAAUUCACAGUGUACCUAUCCCCAUACAUACAUCUCACCUCAUAAUUCCAGUCCCCUGAAUGUGUAGCUAUACAUGCAUUAGAAGCAGUUUUUACCUUUUUCAACUUUUUUAAAAUUUUGGGACAUACCUUUCCUGUAUAUUUCUUCAUCCACUCCCUCUUAUUCUCCAUUCUAACCAUUAAAUAAAGUCAUAUUGUUUCCAACAUACCUAGUAUAGGCCUCUCCCUUGCUUCUAAAAUGCUGGAGUUGAAACUCUCACAAAGAUUAUUCAAUAAAAUGUCAAUUGUCACAUUUAGGGGAGGUUCUAAAGUAAGCUCUGGACCAUUGCUGUGGUGUUGUGUUGUCAACCAACCAUUGAAAUGCACCCUCAUCAACUGCUUUCAAAGCUUCCAUCAAAGCCUUGAACAGAUUUUUGUAAGGAGCACUUGCAAGUGCCCAAAUUCUCUCCUUUAAUGCCAAACCACCAUGCAGCUUUUUAAAGUUAUUGUACUUGUGUCUCACACACAUCCUAUGCUCCACAUCUGGAAGCAAAUCUUGAAUAGCUUGAAUCAGUCUCUUCAACAAAUAAAAAGGUGAAACCAGAUCAUCAAAUUAAAACUAGCAAACUCAGUUUAAAAAAACCCCAGAAAAAUACACUAACAUACCUUUUGUUUAUCAGUAAUAAUUGUCCAAUGAUUUUCAUCUCUGAUUUGGAGGUCAUUCAGCAAUUCACCUACGAACCAUUUCCAAGUCAGCUUGUUUUCUAUUUCCACCACAGCAUAGGCAAUGGGGUACAACUGAUCAUUGGGGUCAAUUCCUACAGCUGUAAGCAACACACCCUUGUGGGGCCCUCUAAGAUGGCAGCCAUCUAACCCGACAACAGGCCUACAACCACUUAAAAAGCCUGUCUUGCAUGCAUUGAGACAAAUAUACAACCUCUCAAACCUAUCUUCUCCCUCAUCAUUUUCAACAGUGGUCAUGAAAACAUUUGAGCCAGGAUUAGCCCUCUUUACUUCCCUACAAUAGUUUCUUAGUUUGUUGUAUUGGGCUUCAUGUUCACCAUUAACUAAACUCUCUGCCUUUUUCUUAGUUCUAUAAGCUUGCCACCUAGAGAUGUUGACAUUAACAUCAGUCUUCACUUUAUCUGUGAGCGUAGUCACCUUCAUGUCGGCCAUGGCAGUCAGCUCCUUUUUGUAUCUAUCAACCAAAAAAGUUGAAUUUGCUAGUCCGUGGUCAAAUGUCCUCCCACAACUGUGUUUACCUUGCAUGCUCUUGAUUUGAAAAGUCUUUUUGUCUAGCAUAACAGCUGUAGAAACUUUCCAGCUACAGUCCUUGCAAUAAGCCGUAGCUCUUCUGCCAUCAUUUUUACUGAAUUUUAUCUUCCUUCCGUGAACCACUCCAUGGCUCUUGCAUGCCUUCAUGAACAACUGCUUACAAGUAAAAAUCUGCCCAACCUCAAAUUUGGGAUCAAUCAUAUCAGUUUCAGGGUUAAAUUUUGGAAACUUAGCUCUCUUUCUUGGCUGAUCUUCUUUUUCUUCUGAGUCACACCAACUAUCAAAUUCAUCUGAGUCAGUAGCAUCUUCUUCCAUCUCAGCAUUCUCCACUUGACAUGUUCUCUCCUUUGUACUCUUAUUUGAUUUGCAAUUUUUGACAAUUUUCUCCCAUUCAGCUUUUCUUUCUUUAACAGAUUUUACUAUGUCUUCUUCAUCACUGAACUCAUAGUCACUAUCAAUGAACUUGUCACCAUCAACAGAUUCCUCAUCUUCCUCAGCAUGUGUCUCCUUCUUACUCUUCUUCUUUCUCUCAACUUUUUCAGCCUGCUCUUUAUUUGUUGAGAAUUUUUUCUGUAAUGAUUUCUCCUUUGGUGAUUUGUUAGUAGAAGGUGCAUUUUUUCCUGUAUUCUGUACUUCUGAGUUUGUCCAAUCUUGUUCUUUUCUAAAAUUCUGAUCAGGCCCUCCUAUAUUUGCUGCAUUAUCUCCUUUAUCAGCAACUCUAAUGUCAACUUCUGAAAGCAUUUCACCUAAGUUCUCUCCUAUGGCUACUUCCUCUAUGUGUUUAUUAGCUCCUGACUCACCAGCACCUAUGCUAUCCUUUUCACCCUCAUUUUCGGAUUGAGUUAUAGAAAUAUUAGUCAUCAUUAUUUCUUCUACAUCAGAAGGUUCUUCAUGCACCUUACUACCCUGUUGAUUUUCCUUAGGAUCAGUCCCCUCUUUUGGUUUACAUGGUCCAGCUUCACAUUCACUUAUGGAGUAGGUUUUUAAGUGCACAAAGUAUACAUCAACCAGACCAUAUUUCACUCCGUCUCUAGCCAAAUCCUGAGCAACAUCUUCACAUAACACAUACACUAACCCAUCCUCCAUGUUCUUCCCGGGUAUUAAGUAAUAGCAUAUUACAGUAAACUCAGGAUAACCCAGUUUUUCUGCAACCCUAUCAAGUGUACAUAUAGACCAUCUGUCAGGAUUGCAACAGUCAACAAUUUUUACACUACCCCCGCGGUAUUCUUUGUUCGGCAACUCAGUGAAUUCACCUCCAUAGUGGACCCUAAUGGAAAAUCGAUUCAUACCAUCUGCCAACCAUUUAGGAGACAGUUAACAACAAAAAAAUUUUUUGGGACCGACAGCCCAUCUAUGUAAAGCGACAACACAACACAAUACAAGGGACCACAUGUACUUACAACAAUUUAAUACAUAAAAUUGACCACCAGCAACCCUAAUCAAUAUAAUAAUGCUUCUUAACUGCACAAAUCAUGCUUAUUGCAAUUGUAUUUAAACUAUUCACAUAGUAUCUGACAUCAUUCCAUAAAUUUUAUAGUUUAGGGUUUAGAAAAACAUACUGUAAUUUGGGAUCCGUUGAAUGUCUUCUUCGUCCAUCACUCUGGUAUGCUUGUUUCUUCUUCGCUUUAGUCACUAACGCUCCUUUUCAUCAACAUCAGUCCGCUGCUGGGUAGUGGGUAGUGAUAAUUAAGUUUUUUUGUUUGGUUGAGAGGAAUCGGAGAUGGAACGGUGAGUUAGUACCAAAAUGGAGAUUUUUUUUGGGAAGUAUUCGUCCUUUACAUUUUGGUUUUGGUCAACAGAUAAGUGGUUUGGCAUUUUUACCCUUGAAAAGUUGGCCAUGUGGUGUGCGCGUGAGAUAUUCCGGGCAAAAAUCAGUCGGAAAAGUGAAAAGGGACUCAAAUUAAUCCUUUUUUAUUUGAUAAGGACUGAAAUUGAUCAUUUUCGAUCUGAGGGACUAAAUUUUCACAUUUGCAAUAUGUGAGGGACUAUUUGUGCAGUUCUCCCAAGUGGAUUUGUAUUGAGUAUUAAAGUGAGUUGAAAAAGAAUUUGUAAAUUUAGAUUGAAUGUGAAGGGUUACUCAUGAAGAAUUGUAAAUUUGGAUUUAAUAGGAGGUUUUACUCAUGAAGAAUUAAAUGUUGAAAAAUAGUGAGUCCAUAAUUGUGAGAAGAGAUGACCUUAGGUAUUAAGAUGAGAUUGCAUUAAGUAUUAAAGUAGGUUUAGAGAAGAGUUUAUAAAUUUGGAUUUAAUAUGAGGGGUUACUCAUGAAAGAGAGAUUUAUAAGAAUUACUAGGAGGGGAAUGCUCGCGCAUCGCACGGGUGUUUGGUGCUUAUGGUUAAAGAAGAUUUUACGGUAGUUCAAACGAAUAUCAAAAAACUCACACACAUUGAGUAAUAAAAUGAAGUAACAAAAUAUCUAAUGUAUACUGGGAGAUGGAGAAGGAAAUUAUGCAUGCUAUCUUGCUCAGUUCAUAUAUUUUGAAACAAACACUUGUAUAUGAGUUUUUCAUUAAUAAGACUAAAUAAACUUUAAACAGAUACCCAAACGAUUCAGAGAAUGUCAAAUAAACAAAGUGAUUAUCCACUUAAAGAUGCAUCUACACAACAUUCUUGUUGAUGAAAGUAGCUAACUAUGGCGGAGGCUUUUUGAUCAAAGUAGCCAACAUUCUUUUUGAUCGAAGUAGCCAACAUUCUUGUUGAUCGAAACCUAUUCCAACAAAAUCACACCAUUUAAAUUGUAUAGAACAACCAACUUUGUGGGGAAACAAUAAUAUCAACAUUAAAUUGCGCUAACGGAGUAUCCAAUUUUGGAAUGAAAGCAUUUAGCUAACAAUAGAAAUUACGGUUUUCCAAAGCAAAUCAUACCUUUGAAAAAAAGAAUGAAACCUCACCUCAAGUUGAACCACCAAAAAUAACUUCACUAGAGAACCAUAUUGAAAUCUAGAGUACAAUAGCAAUACAAAUAAGUAUUUACCGGAAGAUGAAAGGAACAUAAUGGAAGAAUGUGAAGGGGCAGACAUUUGAAGAAUUGAAGUUGAAACUAAUGCUCAAUCAUAAAUUCCUUAAUAAACCACAUUGUCCUUGCUUUAAUUGAGAUGAAAAUGACGUUUGAAGUUCUUCAAGUUAUAAUAGCAAAGUAAUAGUGAUAAUUGAUUCAAACCAAAAUGAAUGUCUCUGCAAGGACAUUUAAGUAAUUACACCAAUAAAGAAGCUAUUAUGGGUUGUACCUAUUGUAGAAAAGAUGACCAAAUAAUCUCACAUUCCCAAAUUACCCAAACCUUUGAACAAAUCAUCACUGCAUCUUUUAGAAUAUAAGGACAUUUCAGUAAACACAAUAAUACACACGCUAUCUAAAGUAGUACCCAAUACUAUAACUACACUUAAAACCACGUCACAAUCCCAAAAUACCCCUACUCUUGCGGUUGAAAUUCAAAGCUAUUCUUUAAUCCAAACUCAUUCUUAUAUAAUAUAAGGACAUCCUACAUUGGUUCGAAAGAUGAAAAAAGAACGAUUAAUAUAUAAGUAAGAGACUGAAACCUAAUAACUUAAAUUUUUAGAUUAGAAUUAGAUUUUUGAUUUACAUAUUGAACACUUUGAUAAGCUUUCUUGACGUUGUUCUCCCUAACACAUACUAAUUGGGAUGAUGCCAUACUAGUCUAGAUCAUGCUGACUUAUUUGGGGGAAAAUGGUGCCACCCUAGUCUAGAUCAUGCUGACUUAUUACGGAAAAAUCCUUUCUUCAAUAUGAUAAUUUACUGGAAGAAGCAAGUCUUACUUAGACAUAAUAUUUAAAAGGGUUAAAUGUAGAAAAUCCUCAUAAAAUUUUAUAGCUGUCGCAUAAUAUACCCCAAAGCAUAUUUAUAGACACUUUGCACCUUAAAAAAAUUAUCGUUCACAGAUUUCACGAUCAAACAAAAGCACGUGUCUUGCAAGUUUUGUCCGUUGAAAUUUCUUGAUAGAAUUGUCCUCCUUCCAAACGAACAUAAAUGACUAUCUCUACCUGACAAAAUAUUAUUAAGAAUAAUUUUGUUGUCGAAAAAGAAAACAAAAAGUACAAAAAAUUUUUCUUAUCAAAUGAGUAAAAAUUUUCUAAAAAAGUGUCGUUAACCAAUAAUAUACUACUACUAAUAUUUUUUUUUAUUUUAAUCUUAUUAUUUGUCACUUUGCUAUUAAUAAUUAGAUUUAUUAUGAGCUCAUUUGUUUUAGAUGUAUCUAAAUAAUUUGAAUACUAUACAAAAUAUGCUUUGCACAUAGCUAACAUAUAUUUGCAAUUAUUAUUACUACUAAUAAUUGAACACAAAAAAGAGAUGAAAAGAGAAUAAGUUGAAGUUCAUUAAAAAUAAUAUACAAAUAAUAAUAGUAAAAAUUAAAAUAACUAGUCAUACAAGACAAAAAAGAACAAGAAAAAUGUAAAAUGGAACAAGGUAAAGAGUAAAGAAAAAAGUACAAAAAAUAAUUGAUAUAUAAAUAAUAUUCCAAGUAAUAGUUUUUUUUCACAUACAUCACAUUCCAAAAUUAUUUAGAUAUUUUAUUGACCAUCACAUCCCACUCCACGCAACACAAUGGCCAUGAAGGGUGCUUUUAUCCAUUCAAUUAUCAUUUAAGAAUACAGUUAUCAUUUCAGUGGUAAGUAAAUGGUGUAUACAGAUUCGUUAAUUUUUAGUAGAAUUUGAGUGCAAAGUGCCUAUAAACAUAUUUUGGAGUGUAUUGUGCAACAACCAUAAAUAUUUAUGGGAGUUUUUUGCAUUUAACCCUAUUUAAAAUACUAGUAGUCUUAAUUUCACCUGCCGAGACAUUCGUGUUUUGUUAGGCCUUGUGUAAAAUCAGAAGAAUUGGGAAAAGUUUCAUUGUUUUCUCAUUGCCAUAUGCUCUAUAUAUACAAGUACAAUGUGCAUCAGGCUCCCGUGACUUCAGCCCCAAUUUACCUAAUUAUGUGCAAUUACCAAUACUACCAAAUAUAGAUAGAUACUAUAAACACAAGAUACCCUAAACUGCAGCCGAGACUCCUUCACUAAACUGCAGCCGAGACUACUUCACUAAUACCCCCCCUCAAGUUGGAGCAUGAAGAUCAGAAAUGCCCAACUUGCAAAGAAUGUCAUCAAACGAACGUUUGCCAAGAGCCUUGGUUAGGAUAUCAGCGAGUUGGUGAGACGAGGAUACAAAUUGGGGAAGAAUGAUACCACGACGAAUCUCAUCACGAACAAAGUGACAAUCAACUUCGAUGUGCUUGGUGCGUUCAUGAAACACAGGGUUGUGAGCAAGAUGAAGAGCAGACUGGCUAUCACAAUAAAUCCGCAUAGGAGAUGAGUGAGGGACACCAAGAGAAGCUAACAAACCCUUGAGCCAUUUCAAUUCACAAGUCGUAGAGGCCAAAGAACGAUACUCUGCCUCAGCAGAAGAUCGAGAUACGGUAUGCUGUUUUUUCGUUUGCCAGGAAAUUGGAGAAUCCCCAAGAAAGACAAAAUAUGCCGUCAAAGAACGUCGAGUCAAGGGGCAACUCGCCCAAUCCGCAUCACAAUAAGCCGUAAGAUGAAGAGAGGAAUUAGAACGGAGCAAAAGACCUUGCCCAGGAUGAAGUUUUAAGAAACGAACAACCCGAAGGGCCGCCUCCCAAUGACUAUGCCGUGGUUCCUGUAGAAACUGUGCCAAGAUAUGUACACAGUAAGACAAUUCAGGGCGAGUAAUCGUCAGGUAGAUAAGACGACCAAUAAGACGCCGAUAAGGCAUAAAAUCAGGAAGGAUCUCGUCCUUAGCCAAAGCAAGGUGAUGAUUUUGCUCCAUUGGUGUGCCGGCAGGUUUAGCACCUAACAAGCCGGUCUCAGAAAUAAUAUCGAGAGCAUACUUUCUCUGACAAAGAAAAAUCCCAGUCGAAUUUCGCGCUACUUCAAGACCAAGGAAGUACUUCAAUUUACCAAGGUCUUUCAUGUGGAAACAAUCAUUCAAGUAAGUUUUAAACGCAUGAAUGGCAUCACUAUCAUUCCCACCUAUCACCAGAUCAUCCACAUAGACCAAAAUGGUCAACUGAACUUUGCCACGCCGAAACGUGAACAAAGAAUAGUCUGAGCCAGAUUGCUGAAAUCCAUAUUGAACCAGAGCCGCAGCCAGCUUGGCAAACCAACACCGCGGUGCCUGUCGCAGCCCGUAGAGAGACUUGCGCAGACGACACACUUUAUCCGCUCCGGGUGCCGUAAAACCUGGUGGAAAACGCAUAUAAACUUCCUCCUCAAGGUCGCCAUGCAAAAAUGCAUUGUGCACAUCCAUCUGAUGCAAUUCCCACCCACGGAUCGCUGCUACUGCCAAGAAGGUACGAACCGUGACCAUCUUUGCAGUAGGUGCGAACGUCUCAGUAUAAUCAAGACCCUCGAUCUGAUGAUUCCCGAAAACGACCAACCGUGCCUUGUAUCGCUCGAUUGUUCCGUCUGCAUGAUACUUGAUUUUGUAGAUCCAUUUACUACCAAGAGCCUUCUUUCCCGUAGGCAAAGUAGAAACUGUCCAUGUCCCAUUAUCCUCUAGAGCCUCAACCUCCUUUCUCAUUGCCUCACGCCAACAUGAGUGCUGCAUUGCCUCUUUAAAACUAGUUGGUUCAAUCCCUGUAGUUACUGCAGCCACGAAUCGACGAUGCGACAGAGAAAAUUUAGCACAAUUCACAUAGUUUGUGAUGGGGUAGGGCGUACCUGAGGAUGCCAAGGAAGAGGAAGGAGAGCUCGAGGAACUGAGGGCAGCUGUAUGUAACACAUAAUCAUGCAAACGAACUGAAGGCUGUCGCGCUCGUUUGCCGCGACCAAGAUCGUCCACUGCACCUGUAACCUCUGCAACUUCAGAUAUUGGUACGAUCCCAUCUGCUGUCACGCCCUCUUCCACGGACUGUCCAUCAUAUUCAGAGACUGGCGGAGGUACCUCAAUCUCAGGCACGUCCUCCAAUAUAGUAGGCUCAAUGACAGUAGGCAGAGGAUCUGGAGUUGCCGACCUUGCGGAGUCCGUAUGGGCAAAAGGAAACACGUGCUCAACAAACUCAACAUCUCGACUUUCAAAGCAAACCUUCCUAUCUAGAUCAUACACCCUCCACCCCUUUUUACCAUAUGGAUAACCCAUGAAUAUGCACUUAUGACUUCGACUUGCAAACUUAUCCUUUUCCCGAUUAAUGUUCUUAGCAUAACAUAGGCAUCCAAAUACUCUAAGAUGAGAAAUAGAUGGAGGGCUGUCAAACAAAAUUUCAUAUGGAGUUUUUCCAUCCAAAAUCAACGAUGGAGUACGAUUGAUUAAAUAUCCUGCAGUGAGAAUGCAUUCUCCCCAAAAUUGAAUAGGUAAGUUAGCCUGAAAACGAAGCGCCCUACCAACAUUCAAAAUAUGUCGAUGUUUCCUCUCAACUCUUCCAUUUUGUUGGGGUGUCCCAACCAUGGAAGUGUGAUGAAUAAUGCCACACUCCUUAAAAUAAUCACCUAAACAAGUAAACUCUGUACCAUUGUCACUGCGUAUAAUUUUGACUUGUUUAUUAAAUUGUCUCUCGGUCAUAGCCAAAAAAUUCUUAACAACAUAUGGGACCUCAUGUUUUCCUUUUAACAAAUAAACCCAUACACCACGAGAACAAUCAUCAACAAUAGUCAGAAAAUAGGUAGCACCACAAAAACUAGCCUUUCGAUAAGCUCCCCACAAAUCACAAUGAAUUAAUUCAAAAAUAGCACUAGCUUUACGGUCACUAAUAGGAAAAGGAAUACGAGUUUGUUUUGCCCGGAAACAAACGUCACAAGGUUCAUGAACACCUUUAUUUAUCUCUAUACUACCGUCUAUUGUAGGGAGCUUUUCUAUGACUCGCACAGAGGGAUGUCCCAACCUUUUAUGCCACAAAUCCAUAUUCUUGGCUCUAACGGCUCCAUGAGCACUAACCAGAGGCUCCCCUCGUGCGACAUACAGCCCCUCAAGCUCUUCACCCACUCCAAUCAGCAUCCUCGAAGUACGGUCCUGGACAACACAUAAACGAUCAGUGAAUUUCAAGAUAUAAACUUUGUCACGGGCUAAUUUUGAAACAGAUAUCAAAUUGCAUCGUAUUUCAGGAACAUAUAAAACACCCUUGAGAGAUAAUUUUCCUACAAGAACUGUUCCUUCUCCUGUUGCCAUAACAUAUUCACCGUUUGGCAUUUUCACGGGACAAGGAGGUAUUCCUUGAAGUUCUACAAAUGCAGUUUCCUCUCCCGUCAUAUGAUGCGAAGCACCUGUGUCAAACAACCAUUGUAAAUAUGCCUUACCAUUAAGCCUUGGCCUUGGCUGAGCAACUGAUGUAUUAUUCGUGUGAGUGUUCCAGAGAGACUUCAAAGUCUCCCAAUCAGCUUUGCUCAAGUUCUCCAAUCCAGCUUUAUCAGAAUCAUCAAGUGGUCUCCCAUGGGAAACAUUAGCAGCCACCUGUGCUGCCCCUUGUGCAACAUGAGCCCGUGCUACUCCACCGCGACCACGCCCCUGGUUACCACGUCCUUUGCCUCUUCCUUGAGUCAAAUUUCCCGGCCACCAGUCGGGAUAGCCAUGAAGACGAAAGCAUGUGUCCAUGCUAUGUCCCGGUUUCUGGCAGUGAGAGCAAACUACUCCAUUGUCUUUUUGGUCCCCCCCUGAAUUCCGAGGGCCUGGGCUGACUGUUUUCAUGGCAAAGCUCACCGGAUCAGACCGAUUGGGAGCUGCUCGCGUCAUUACCUGCACUUGUUCUUGCUCCGUAACUUGAGAAUAAACCUUAUGAAGGUUUGGAAGAGGGUCUGAAGCAAUGAUGUUGGAACGAACAUUACUAUAAGAUGAUUCAUCAAGCCCCAUGAGGAAUUGAUGCACCCGCUCUUCCUCUUGACGCUGUUGAAGCCGUGUAACGAAGUUAUACUUGCAUCCAUUACAAGAGCAAGUAGGCAUAGGAUCAUAAUCAUUCAAAUCAUCCCACAGCUUCUUGAGUCGACCAUAAUAAGCCAUGAUCGAAUCCCCGUUUUGUUUGCAAUUGGCAACCUCCGUUUUCAAUUGAUGAACUCGCGCGCCAUUACGAACAGAGAAUCGUUGCUGGAUAUCGUCCCAUAAUUGCCUUGCCGUUUCCUUGUAUGAAAUCGUGGAACGCAAGCCUGGUUCGAUGGUGUUAAAGAUCCAUGACACAAUCAUGGAAUUCACUGUCCACCAAUCAUCAAUUUCAUCUGAGUUCUGGUUCGGCUCCUUAAUGGUGCCAUCAAUGAAACCUUGUUUCUUCUUUGCCCUCAACGAAAUCCUCAUGGCCUUAGCCCAUUCUUCAUAGUUUGGUCCUUUGAAUUGUGUCUGCGUAAUUAAAUUCCCUGGGUUGUCAUUCGCGCUCAAUAAGAACGGCGAAUUGGUCUUCAAACUUGAAGCUUUUUGAUCUGUCAUCAUCCUAGGAUUUAUAGUUCAGGGGUUCGGUAUUGUUUUCAGAGCCAGAAGGCUCUGAUACCAUGUAAAAUCAGAAGAAUUGGGAAAAGUUUCAUUGUUUUCUCAUUGCCAUCUGCUCUAUAUAUACAAGUACAAUGUGCAUCAGGCUCCCGUGACUUCAGCCCCAAUUUACCUAAUUAUGUGCAAUUACCAAUACUACCAAAUAUAGAUAGAUACUAUAAACACAAGAUACCCUAAACUGCAGCCGAGACUCCUUCACUAAACUGCAGCCAAGACUACUUCACUAAUACCUUGCCCAACUGAUUUUCGGAAAUACAAAUCAUGAGCUGGCAGAGGUUUAAAAAUUAGGGGACACGUUUCCCUAGGUCUGUUUGUACCUUUAAUUGUGGUUAAUAUAAUGAUAUCAUGAUUUUACCAACAAUAGAAAAGGUUAUCACGAUUUUACCAACAAUAGAAAAGGUUAUCAAGAUUUUACCAACGAUAGAAAAGGUUAAAAAAUACUGUGUUUGGAUAUGAGAUUGUUUGAGAUAAUUUUUUUAAAAAAAAUACUGUAAUAUUUUUUUAAUGUGGCAUAUAUGAGAUAAAAAGAUGAUUGAAAAAUGUGUUGAUGAUGCAAACGAGUCAGUCUGUAAAUAAACUGUAAAUAAUGUGCAAUCCAAACACACUCACUCCUUGACAUCAAGUGUUUCAUUAGAUGUGUACUACAGAAAAGGAAAUCCACACCUUAACAACUGGAUCUUGUCAUCGAACAGGAUACAAAAUUCCUAAAAACACUAUUUUAAACAGAAUCUGCAAAUUUACAGAGAGGUUUCACAUGAACUAUUUACUUUCUGCAUGACUCAGCAUGGGCUUAACCUGGACUCGAUUCAACAUCUGCUUGAUGUAGCUUAGGUUCAAUUUCUGCUGGGUCUUUCAUCAGAUUCAGCUUGCUCAUCAAGAGGAAAUGGAUGAUCCUUGGAAGAAGCACCAUUGUUCAAAGGUUUAUUGAACUGGACAAGUAUCAUGGUCAUGUUGUCACAGCCUUCCCCACCAGCAGUUGGUGCCAAACAUUUGUCAAGCAACCUCUCACACACUGUUGAAAGCUUUGUCUCCUAAGUAAUUUGUAAAAUACCGGAUGCAUCAACAAUCGUGUCAUCAAAUGACUUUUACUUUACAAAAUUUAUCAACAGCAUUAUUUGAGAUAUACACAGAAGACUUACGUUGUACAGCUGCUCUCGAACAAAGUCCACUACCUGUUGACUUGACAUGCAAUCCCUACCACAAAAAGAUACAUAAUUAACAUGGCAAACCAUGUUACAAGAAGACAAACGUAUGAAUUAAAAGUUCUAACAUUCAGCAGGGCAUGCAAAGCAAUGCCAUCAACCAAAGCUGUAGAGGCAAAACAGUGGAGUGUCUUGUUGUACUCGUAAUCUUCAGGUCCACUUUUCACAUUGCAAUUUUCAUGCUAAACUCUUACCAUAAAGAAACUAUGGAUGUUUAAAGUAUACAUUAAUUUAUGUAUAGAGUACACAUGAUAGGCUAAAGGGCCAAAAAAGGGACAAAGGUUGCAGGCUUUUAAUUCUUAGGGACAAAAAUUCAGGACAUAUGUCGAUGAACUACGUGACUAAGAAAUGAAGUAGCAGUUAGAUGGAUUUGAUAUUGUCAAUUUCAUAACACACUACUCUUAUCACAGAAAACAUGUUAAAAGAUCAUCCACUAUGCAUCAGUUAUCUUACAUAAGUUUCAUGAGGAGGAGAUACAGCUCUUUUGCUAGAAUUAAGAGUUUUCAAUCUUUUACAAGCAAAUCAGUGCUAACUAACUAGAGCACUAUGGUAAAAUCUCUGAAUUAGAGACCUACCAAAUUCACACAAAUAUAACUUAGUUUUGCCUCUGCAUGAAAGUCUAACACAGCAAUGCAGAGCAGCAAGUUCAUGACAUGCGUAGGUUAGCUACUACAGACAGUUGCAACAUAUCCUGAUAUAAAACCACUGGCUCAAAAAUCCUUUAGAGGAUGUUUUUAAGUCAAAUUGAUUACCAAGAAAAGUAACUAUAACUAGGAAAAAGAAAGGAGCCAAGCGGAAAAGCCCUACCAUAUCCCAUCACAGGCUAGAACAAGAAACUCAUCGUCAUCUUGGAGAUCAACCUAGUAUCAAAAGGACCAAUGGAAAAAGACCAUGUCACGUGAAGAUACUAUUCAAUGAAAUGCAAAAAUAUGCACACUAAAUAUUCCAAAUCUUAACUAGGCGAUUGCCAAAUUGAAUUAAACUUAAAUCAAUAGCCCUUUCCCAUAAAGAAGAUUGUAAAGCAAGACGUUGAACAUAAUAUCACUUCUAAAAUCAUCGUUUAGCAGAUUCAGCUCACAAUAGCAUUCAAGUCAUAAAUACCAUGGUAAUGUCAGGAUCUGCUGUUACAAUUUGCCUUUCAGCAGGAAGUGCUUUGUUUUGCUUUAAUUCCAUGUCACCUGAAGUCAUAAAAAUUGUCACGUCCAUGCAAUCAAAAAAGAAACAAAUUUCAUUUUCUCGAUAAAUACCAAAAGUAAAGCUCUCCGCCUCCCAACAAACCAACAUGGGUACCUAUUGCCCUGGCCAGGUUCAGGCUACCAUUGACACGUCCACAUUGGACAUAGCCACCAGCUUGCAGUAUCCUUUCUUUUUCCAAUUCAUGGUCAGGCUUGUGAUCUUUUGACAGAGCAUAGGCCUAAAUUAGAGAUAGUGAAUUUCCUAUUAGCACAGUUAGGACUGCCCUAUAGAAGUAACCAGCAACAUAUUCCCUUUGGAUUAGAAAACUAACAAGUUGCCUAAGUUCUUUGGUCUAAAAGAGCAAGUGAGUGGGACAUGGAGAGCAAGACCAGAUUUACUCUUCCUUCUUCAAAUAAAAAGAAUGAAAAAUAAAAGUACAUUUAGUUAACCAUACUAUAUAAUUAACUGAUAGCAUAGUUUUAUUUUGGUAGGGAUGCUAUCAGGUCUCCAAACUCUUUGUAUAUCACGAAAUCCAGUAUCAAAAGUAUAACCUAGAUGGAUCAAGACAAAUCAGACUUCUUUCAGAAAACACAAGACUACAAAAUUAUUACCCAAAGCUUCAGCAAAAUCUCUACCUGACCACCACGAGACAUCACGCAACGAGAAUCACCAGCAUUUGCAACGACAAGUUGAUUGUCACGGAUAAUUGCAACACAAGCUGUGGUACCAGAAGUUGGUCCAAUAUAAUCAGAAUGUGGUCCCUUCACUCACAAUCAUGUUUAAUAUGCCUUAGUUUCAAAACAAGAUCAUAUGGGCUUAUAUAAAUUUAAUUAAUAACACUAUUUAAAUAUUUGCUUGCUGACACAAAGGAGGACAAUAAAUCAUCUCAAGUCUUAGCAAUGCUAAAUGACGUACAGGUAAAUAGUUAACCACAAAGAAUCUGCAUUGUAGCAGAAAAUACAGGAAUGAUAAAUUCCUCAUCUCAACUCAGGUGGUGCAUGCAAAAUAAAACAAUCAAUCCUCAAGACCCUGAAAAACCCAUGUUAUAUAACAAAUUCUCAGCUUUGGAUCGAUGAAAAAUUAGUAAAAUAACAACAUGGCACUGAUGUCAAAAUCAUAUAUCGUAGAAAGAAAGAGCAUAAAAAAUUUUCCAUACAGGAUAUGUUUGCAGACUAGGGAAAGAUGCUGCCAAGAAAAUAAGAUUGUCUUUAAAAUUAAAAAGUGAAAAGAUCUCGGUGCUUGGAAGUAAAAGAAAGUUUAUCAUCACUUCAUUCAUUCUCAUAAUAUAGACAAUACAUACAGGAAAAUUUAUUGUUACUUUCAUAAUAUUAUCUCAUGAUGGAGCUAGCUUAACAGAACAUGGCCAUCACCUCCUCAUGCAAAAACUUACAAUCCCCAUUAACAGAACAGCACAAAUGACUUUAGUAUUGCAGCAUGCAAAUAUAAGCUCCAAAAAACAUGUGAUAUACUAAGAGGGGGAGGUAUGCAAUGGAAAUACAUAGGAGGUGAUAUAUAUUGACAUCUUUAAAAAUCAUAUUUGUAUCUAGCGUACUAGACAGAUGCAAGACCAAGGGCUUACCUGCUCAGAAGGCCAAUCAUUAAUCUGGCUGUUGGCUUCGCCACUCCUUGGGGACCAUAUCAAUCCUUCUAUCAUGCCUGUGACCUUUUGCAUUUUAUCCCCAAGUACAGAUAAUUCUCUCCAGCCUCUUUGCCCACACAUCAUCUCAUCCAUCCUGAAAGAUAAAUGACCACAAAGUAGACACAAGGUUACGCGGCAUUUACAAGUUGCAACGCCUAAAAAUUUGAAGAACUCUGUCCUAUAUAAGAUUCUUCUAGUAAGACAACCACAAAAUACAAAUUGCAGAAUCAAAAUUAACCAAAUUAAAUGCUAUUCCGACACUUACUGGGUAUUAUUUGUAAAUUCAUCAAUCUGUACAAUAAUCAAAUGAUUUUUUUUAAUCAAAUGACUUAAAACCAUCAACAGACUAACAAAAAUUUUAAUCCCAUUCAAUUAUAAAUGACUUCAUACUCAAAUGAGAAGUGACCAGGGUAAACUCCUACUUCACAAAUCAAGGUAUUACACAAAACUCAACUUGUGGGAAUUACUACAGUUUCAGUGGCCAAUGUUGUCAUGAACAACACAGUCUGGUUCCAUAAUGCUAAUCUGAUAUGAAUAAGUGUUUUGCUAGUAAUAACACCAUACUGAAGUUAUACAUGCAUUCCAGCUAUGGUUAGACCGUGUCAAUAACACAUGUAGGUAAGGAACUAAAAAAAAAAAGGAUUGGAGUAACCUGAGAAAAGAUUUCUUCAUCGAAUCUCCUAAAUCACCAGCUAAGUAGGCUUCAUUUUUUAGCACUUGUUCGUGAAGAUACUUGGCACAAAAUUUAGCAACUGCUUUUCCUGCAAGAAAAUUAAGGACACAUAUAAUGAACCCACAUAUAUCUGACGUCAAAAGUUCAAAGAUCAUAUUCCUAUUUAAACCCAAUCUCCUCCUCCCCCAACCCUCCAACCACUCCACACCCCUCCCCAAAGAAAAAGAAAGAAAGGAAACAGACACAUACACACGACACCAAUGAUGAUCUCCAACAAGCAAAAAUUAGCUCAGUGUGAGAUUAACUUAUUCCAAUCAUUUUGUUUAGUGCAGCAAGAAUAUAAAUCUCAUUCCAAUCAUUUUGUUUAUUGCAGCAAGAAUAUGUCUUACAUUUGGCAUCUCAAUUAAUCAUAUUUGUAAUUAACUAAAUGGAAUCAAGGUCAUAAUUGUAGCGCCCUGAGCCCGCCAGACUGGCCCAAUACCAUUUUGAGCUGAAACCACGGGCUCAAAAUGCUUAACCCAAAGUUAUUAGUUACCUGAUGGUCCGGACGUUCUAUACGAUUCUUUUUCUUCUCUUGAGUCCGAUGUGGGAUAUCACAAUAAUAAUCCAGUAUUAGCCGAUUUUCCUAGCUCUAAAUGGAGUUAUAUGAAUCAAAUAUGAGCAACUCUUUAUUCCAAGAGAAAAAACAAUACACAAAUCUCUCAGGUUCUUAACUCAUCUCUGCAAUACUCUACUCUACAUAAAUUGCUAUGCUAACAUAAGCAAUUAAGCACUUUAGUCAAAAUUACUUGUGAGCAAAAAUACUAUGUUUGUGAUUAUAGGAAUAGAUGUCUAAAUAUGUUUCCAUUGUAAAGAGAUUAGUUUUAAUUAUCUAACCGAGUUGCAGCCUUUCUUGUCAAAUCCAUCUUACACCUUUGAAGUUGUUUUUCAGUAUAUUUAAUCUCUUUCGUCAGCUUGUUUAUACAUAUCAGAAUUGCCUUUGAGAAGCUAUGCUAUUUACUUGCUAAAAUAAUAGAAAGUAUUAAAUAGAAGGUUACAGAAAUUGAUAGAUAAGAAUAAAUACCAUUCAGCACUCCUUAUAAGGGAAAAAAUAGUAUAAAAUUAACUGAUAGUAAGUCAUGCAACAGGGGAAAAAAAAUCAAGUUCAGUUUCAGAUAGAAAAGGCAAAAAAGGUGAUGUAAGGGGAAAAAAUAUAAAGGAGAAAGGUGCUAGAGAGGUGGAUAUUUUCUUCCUAAAACGCUGAGCCAUAUCCUAAAGAUGUAGCCAGAAAGCAAGGCCAAGUACAAGUCAGCUUCAUUUCAGUUUUCAUAUAAGUCAACAAAGAGCUAUAAAAACUGACUCCGUUUAAAGUCUUACCUCCAUGGCCAUCAUAAACUCCAAAGAAAGACGUAGCCUUGUCCAAGUUGGGAUAAACUGCAUGCUACAGAAAACAAGAUGCUGUAACUAAGUAGCAGAUUCUUUUAGUGCUAGUGAUAUUGUCCACAUCCAAAGAUAAAAGCAAUAAAAGAAACAUUUAAAGCUCACUGUACCAUCAAAGAAGAAUAUACCAAGUAUCUAGGCUUCAUAUAUAAAGGUCCACAGGAAUCUAUGCAUAUAUAAGAAAGCUAACACUUAGUUAAUAUCUCAUCAAGAUACCUGAUUGAAAUGCCAAAUGGUGAAUGACCUAGUCAUGAGCUAUUUGACAAUGAACAUAUAUUUUAAAAAAAAUUAAAAACAAAAAACUAAAGAAGGUGAUAGAAAUGAAGAGCAUGAACUGCUAAAAAGUCAAAUGACAAGCUGCAAUAGGUUUCAUUUAUCAUUAUUUACUGCUGACUAGCACUAGAUUCCCAAUAAUUAGAAGCCAGAAGAUACUUACAGCAUCUUCCAUGGUAGAGCGCCAUCCUUGCAUGGAGGACAUGCCAUAUCUGAGUCUAUCAUUCUCGCCAUCAUCUGAUGACUUCUCCGUUUUAGGAGUGCUUAGAUAUACCCCCAUACUUCACUGCAGCCAAACUCAAGAAUAAGCAUAGACUACAAAUUUGAACAAACACAUUCUCUUUUCUUUUGUUUCACAGCAGCCAAACUCAAGAAUAAGCAUAGAAUACAAAUUUGAACAAACAUAUUCUCUUUUCUUUUGUUCUUCUUUUAAUAAUUUAAAAAAAAAAAGAUAAAUCAGGAAAAGAAAAGUUUGUUUAUGUACGAAAAGGCUCAUGUAGUACAAUGGAAAAAUUAACUCAACUCGCUAUGACAGAAAUACGUAGAAACACUCACAAAAUGAAACUGUGGAGCCAGUUUACACUCUAAAUUCACUAAAAUUUAGUCAAUUGAAAAAAAUCGUACAACUAUUUAUGUUAUCCACAACAGCCUACUUGGCAUGUGUUUUCAUCUGGUAGUUUAGGAAAUUAUACUAAUUAUUAAAGAAUUAACAAGAUGCAUGCCACCAGCAAAUAACUCAUUUGAAAUCCUUUUCCCCGAUUAUUUCUAACUUAAGAGAAUUUGAGAUUUACAAUAUCACCGCAAAAACUUGCCCAGUAUAAAGUGCAAUAAAAUUGUAAAAUAAUUUCAACACAGUUCUUUAUACUCUUAAUAUUAGCACGGAAAUUGAAUCAACAAUGAGAAAUCAACAGCAUUUAAAACAUUUUCAAACCAGCACAGCAAAACUCUAUCGUUAUUUCUCUAUUUUCGUCAAGAUGCCCGAAAAUUCCACAGAGUUGACUCCAUUUUCCACACAUAUACGAUGCAUUUUUCACAUAAUACGUAACAAUUCUAACAACUCCACAUACUUAUAAUCUUCUCUCUAUCGUUCCAAUUUUAUUCGAACUAUCACCAAACAGCUAAAUAACAUUCUGCGCUAAUAUCGAUCAUAACAUAAGAAGUUACAACAUAGAAAAGAAUGAAAACGGUAAAAAAGCAAUUCAUCGCCAUGAUAUAUGGGGAAAAAAAUAAUUGUACAAUUGAUCACGAACAUAAACUAACACAGAUGCUUGGUAACGAUCUAAAAAACUUACCAAACAAAUCAAAAUCGCAUCCGAAAUGAAGUCGAGAGAGUUGAUGAAGCUGCGUUAGGGAUUUUUCAACGAGCUGGCAAGCAAAGUUAUCAAUGUAGAAGCACCCGGAGAGUGAGAGUAUUUUGUGCGUGUGUGUGUGUGUGUGUGGGGGGGGGGGGGGGGGGGGAGUGAGAGAGAGAACUGAUCAAUGGAAGGCAGUUUUGGGUGACGAGGGAUGACUCGGCAGCGGUGAGCUGUGGAUUAACGGUGGAUUAACUACGGUCUAUUUAUUUUUGGACCGUGAUAUAUUUUAUUCUCUGGGUUUUAAUUAUUUACUAUGUGCUGGUUUAAUAAGUGGGCCCGAUGAUGAGCGGAUGCUAUCCUUUUGGGCUGGACAGCUUUUUCCUAGGCAGAGAGUUUUGUGUUCCCAAAAAAAGGAAAAAGAAAUGGAUAAAAGGGGAAGAUAAAAUAAAAAGUUGGUCGCCACUUUUCUUAGUCAUGUAGAUGAUUCCGAAAGAAAAAAGAAAGAAAUCUGGUGAGAGAUUAAAGGUGCAGGUUUAAAUUGUAACUUAAUUUGUAGAACUUUCCUAAUAGUGGUUGAUUACAGGCAAAAUUUUAAUCUGGUUCAUGGAUUUGUAAUGAUUAAUUGCAUUUUAACGAAGUUUUAGCUCGCCAUGUAAUAGAGGACCAUGCUAGAAGCAGCUAAAUACUGAAAUCCUCAUUUAAAUUUAAUGCUUUUUUAAUCAAGUAAAAAAAAUGAUUUUUAAGACAUUGAAUUCUCAUAGCAUGUAAGUUAAUGUGAAAUUCCGUGACUUGGAACUUUUGCCAUCAGAGGAUUCACCUUUGUUGACCAUUUCUAAGGUUGGGCCGACCGAAAACGUAGACUACUUAAAUUGGACUUCGAUCAAAUGGUCAGGCAGAGUCUCAUAGAACUCUCUCUCUCUCUCGUCGGAGGUUCAGACGCCAUUUUACAAUGAAACAUUGUGCUUUAUUUAUUCAAAAAAUUUAGAGAGUAUAAUAGUACACUUAUAUGGUUUAGAGGUUCUCUCGCAACCCCCAUACAAUGCCUAAAUGAUGAUACUUGCUCCAUCAUUUUCAUGAGCCACUAGUUGCUAAAGGAAUUGAAAAGUUUCCUUGCUUGGAUUGCUUGUUUCCAUAGGAAAAUAUCGUCGUUUUCCGUGAUCACAUUUCCCUAUCAUCUUUUUCCCUCACAUAUAUCAAAUCGCUACAGUAAUUUUUCCAUGAAAAAUGAUGGAAAAUGCAAUCCAAACUUUAAACUUCUCGCCUCCAUCAAUUAAAAUUUCAUUUCAAGUUUUAUAAAUGGAUCAAUAAGUGUCUGACUUUUUUUUUUCUACCUAUAUUCUAAGUAAUUAGCCGAAUUUGAGCCUCUAAACUAAUAAUUAAAUUUCAGCUUAGACUUGAAGUCUUGAACAGUCGAAACUAGGAAAAUUUCAGCGCGGUCAGUGGGUCACCGGUGAGUCACGCAUAAUGAUAAGAGUUCUUACACACCCAGUAGGAUUUUGGACCUGAAAUUGAAACUGACCAUGAAAGUGAAGCCUAGUCCAGCCGGUAGAUCUAAAUAUCGUGGCCCGAGUCCAAACUUCAAAAUCAAUGGAUUUAAGGCUCAUUCUGGCCCAGUCCUCUCCAAAUUUUCUUUAUUUUUUUUUCAUUUUUCCUUUUUCCUCGCCAAAAUUUAUGGGAUCACAAAAUAUACUUCAUGGCACUAAAACAAUCAAAUUUUUUUCGGGCCAAAAGGAAACCUGAAUCCGAAAUUACAUAAAAAUAAUGCGACUAUGAAUGGUCCCCAAGUAAUCAACGGACGAAAACUACCAAAUUUAUUCCACAGAUAGAAAAGUAACUCUAGGUUGUAUGUUAAGGCUCAACUUGGCUCUAAUACAUUUUAAGUUACUCCCCCUGAUAAGGUUCUUACUCGGUAAUGUUAUAAUAGUAUUUUGUUUAGUUUUUUUAUUUUUUUCUCAAAUUUAAAAGUUUUUAGGAUAUAUAUGUUGGAUUUGAAAUUUUUUGAGUUUUCUCAACAGAUCUCAGUACCAAUUUUGAACUUGAACUAGUUAAUUGACAGAUUUGAGGGAAUAAACAAGCACAAAUAUUUAUGGAACAACACAUAUAUUUAGUCAAAUCUAAUGGUUUGUGAUUCAUAGUGUAAUUUUUUUUAUUUUAUAAUUUUGUUAAAUCUAAUGAUUUUUAAAAUUAAAUAUAUUGAGAUAUGUUCUAUAUGCCUUUUGUCAUUAGUGCAGCUGUCUUUAAUGAUAUUGGCUUCUGUUUUAUCAAAAAAAACUAUAUGGUAUUUGGCAGUUUAUAAAUAUCUUGCGACAAGAAUGUUGGCAACAUUUAAAUAGAAUGAAUACCUUUAGACUAUGGCACUCUUCUGGUAUAUAAAAGCAUUUAGCUAUUAAAAGAUCCAUCUUUUCGUUUUUGGAUGCUCAUCUACAAUGUUUAAAGAAAUUUUAGAGGAAAAAACCGUCAAUACAUGUGAGUGAGAGACCUGUACAAUUAAUAGCGGUAAUUAUCUAGUGAGUAUUUGAUGGUGAGAUUGUUCCCUUCGAACAUGAUUGAGAUCGCUAUUGAAAAACCACCAGCCUUUGGUUUGGUGGCCACCACCAAAGCAUUAAGGCUUGGUGGGGUGGGAGGCAAGGGUUCAAACCUUGCCCUCAUCAAUUUGCCACAAUUAAAUGUGGCCUUAUUUAAAAAAUUCAGACAGGUGCGUAAUGCACCCGUCUGAUCCGGUGGUGGUUUAGUCCCCUCUAGAUUACCCCAAGAUCUCUUCAGGUCCUCCCCCUCCCCAUAGUAUAGGAAACUAUCGUAUUGACGAAAAAAAAAAGAGAGAUCGCUAUUGAAAACUUUUUUGAGUACCUGGUACCAACAAACUUUCUCAGCAACGUAAUAUCUUGCCGGUCCACUCUUUUGUACUCCGUGGUGACGUGAAGGGCUAUGUUUGAGCAAAAUUCGUUAUUUCUAGUCCGCUUGCCAAUCACUUAUGGCUGACAUAGGAAAAACAAAAUAUGAGGGAUAUAUAUACAACAUUUGACUCAGCUGUUAUGUAUUUUGCAGACCAUUCAACAGUUGAAGUUAGGGUUACAAACGAAUCGAAUCGAGUCGAAUUUUGAUCUAAUCAAGUCGAGGCUUAAUUUAUUUUUAUUGAACUCAAACUCGAGCUCGAGCUCGACGAGUUGGUAAUUUAAAACUCGAGCUUGAAAAAAUAAAAAUUAAUUAUUCUAUUUUUAAAAAAAUAAAUAAAAUAAUAUUUUUUCUUAAUAAAUAAUAAAAUAUUAAGGAUAUAUAUAUAAUUUUACUAUUAAAAUAAAUAAAUAUAUAUAUAUACUCGAGCUCGUGAGCCUGCUUAAUAUUUUGAACUUGAAUUCGAGCCACAGGACAAAAAUAUCAACCAAAUUAUUUAAUACUCAAAUCGAAUUCGACUUAGUAAGAAUUCAUUCGAAUUAGAUUCGUUAACUAGUCAAGCAAAUUUGAACAACAUUUUAUGUUUAAUAACUUUCAAAUUCGAUAAAAAAAAUCCGUUCAAAUUUGAUUGAACGAAUAAACAAGUCAAAAUUGAAUUCAAUUUCAAAUUUGUUAAAAUAAUCAAAUAAAUUUAAGCACUAAGGCGUUCAAUUUGACUGUAUUUAUUUACACCCGUACUUAACCAUCCCACAAGCAAGUAUCGAAGUGGACUAAAUCACAAAAAUACAAAAUAAACCGGAUUUUGUAACAAGACCGCCUAAAAUAAGAUUAUUCCGUAAAAUGAGUGCGUGGACUUAACGCCUCAAUAAAACUUGACCCGGUAUACCUAAUAAGAGUGAAUGGCCCAAAAGAUCACUAAACUAUUAAAAAUGGCACCCUUUGAUCACCAAACUUUUUUUGUGGCCGAAAAGGUCACUAAACUCGCAAAAACUCUCCAGCGGAGCCAUUUUAUCGAAUUUCAGCGGUUUCUCAUCCGGUGGCAUGGGCAACGUGGAAUGGAGGAAUAUAGUCAAGGGGCAAAAAUGUCUGAAAGGUUAUUGGAAUAGGUGAAGCCAUAGAUUGUCUCAUUCCCAAACCACUUUUGAACCCAUAUAUUGACUUCGUCUUCUCCGGCGGUAAAAAUAGAGACUGUAAUUUAAAAUGAGAAACAGGGAAUGAUUAAAGGCGGUGGCAAUAAUUUAAGAGUAUUAUCGUUGAGCAUGAAGAGAGGGGGAUGGGGAUGAGGACAGGAAGUGAAUCAGUAAAAUCUGCUGCUUUGAAAUCAAAUUGAGAUUUCUCGUAUUUUAAGAGCUUGACUGAAGCUAUUGGAAGUGACUCAGGCUAUACUCCAAAGUUGUCUGGGCUGGGUCCCUCAGCCCAAUAGUUCGCUAGGGCGGUGCUCAGAUCAACACAAAUAAAAGAAGAAAACCCGUAUGCCGUGUAACUGGCUCGCUGACUAGCAGAAGGCUUUAUUCCUUUUCUUUUCUCGAAGAAUGGGAUAGCACAGCACUCCCUUCAACGGCUGCCCUCGGCAACCCACUGGUGACGGAUGGGAGCACACGGCUGCGGAAAUACAAAAAAAAAGUAUCAUUCUGUUCUUUUCUUUUUCUGUAAAAGAAAAAAAAACAUUUUUCUGGGUAAACAUUUUUUUUUUUGGCUGGGUGUAGUCAUUGGAACUGCCAAGACUCUUUCCAACUCAGCUAGGUGGCUGGCGAAGGAAAUCGAAGACUGAGCAAAUAAUGGGUAUGGCUCGAGAGACCAAAUUGAGAAAGCAGUGAUGAAACCUAUGGGCUCAAAGGGUCAUCGUCGUCGGAGUUGGAUGUUGGGUCGGGGUUAGUGGUGGGGCGGAUAGGGAUAGUAGGGAGGUCGGAAGUGACGAGACAGAGAGGAGAGUGAAUCUCGGUCACAACCAGUAAACUUCUACGCUGGGUCAAAUUGAAAAGUGAAGUGUUCCCAGCUAGUAAACUUCACCGGAGAAGAUGAAGUGAAUGUCGAUCGAUUGGUCAACUUUGGGAAUGAAACAAUCUGUGAGUUCACUUGCCCCAAUAAUCUUUUGGACAUUUUUGCCCAUAUCAGAAUAUUUAUUCAACUCAAGACCCUUGUAACCGGAUGAUUCACCGCUAAAAUUCGGUAAAAUGACUUCGCUGGUGCGUUUACGUGAGUUUAGUGACUUUUUUGGCUACAAAAAAAGUUUGAUGACCAAAGGGUGCCAUUUUAAAUAGUUAAGUGACCAUUUCGGCCAUUCACUCUACCUAUAAUUAACAGUUCAAGGCUUCAAGCAAUUUAUUAUUACUAUUUUUUUUUUCAAAAAGCCGCCAUUAAUCCUUUUUUUUUUUCCCUUUGGGUUCUUAUCUCAGCUAACUGAUAAUUAUGGACCAACCAACCUUUACCAUCACCCAAUCUCUAACAUUAUUUUGGGCCAACUAGCAAGAAGGCGUGACUGUUUUUUUUUUUUUUUUAUUAGUUGGAUGCAUGUGGCCUAAUGUGCACAUCCACCUCAGCACAUAAACAAUUGUAAGACUGAGGAACUCACCUCCCUACCUCCCAAAAUAAUAGAAAAAUAAUAUGUUUGUGGAAUAUAUUUAUAUUCCUUACUAGUAUUGCUAAAUAAUUCAAGACUAUGCGAAAUAUUAUUAUCUCGUAAUCACAGUUUAGUCAUAAGUGUGCAUCUAAAACUGUUGAACCAAAAGAGGGUACAUGGCAGGCUUCAUUGUUGAUAGUCCACCACUCGUAGCAAAGCACAAAGCAUCGUAAAAAGACCAAAGAGAAAGUGGGAUUUGUACGAUUUGAAGCUAAUAAACAAUAGCCACUGGUCAUUUGGUCUGGUGGUCAUCACCCUCCUUGGUAAUGUUGGAAGUCAGGGUUCAACCCUUACCUCUCACAAAUUUGCCAUUUUACGUUGCUGGUCUUCUGUUCUCACCGGAUAGCUCGAGCAGUCCGUUCCUCCUCCUUAGGGUAUGGCGACCUUCUUAACUUGGUUAAUAAACAAUAACCACUGGUCAUUUGGUCUGGUGGUCAUCACCCUCCUUGGUGAUGUUGGAAGUCAGGGUUGAACCCUUACCUCUCACAAAUUUGUCAUUUUGCGUUGCUGGUCUUCUGUUCUCACCGGAUAGCUCGAGCAGUCCGCUCCUCCUCCUUAGGGUAUGGCGACCUUCUUAACUUGGCUAAUAAACAAUAAUAAAAAGCCAAAUUUAAUGCUGGAAUUAUUGAUUGUACAAGCAAUUUUAUUAUUCUUCAUUGAAUGUCAUGAAAUUCCUCUAACAAACUUGUUAACAUUUGCCCCAAAUAAGAAGUUGGUCCCAUACAUUUAUAAUUUGAUUAUGAACAGGAUUUUUCUUGACUAGCAGCCGUUUAAUUGGUUCCAACUUCCAACUCUUAAGCAAUUGGAUGCAGACACCAACACUAAUAACUAUACGUGAAUAAUCAAUCUCCACCGGCACAACUUCAUCUGAAAUUAAACUAUUCCUGUUAUCCUUCCCAUUACGUUUAUGUUAUGAGAAUCUCUCCGCACUCAAAUUCCGGGAUUCCUAAACGGCUUUUCCUAAUGCUCGAAUUUGGUAUUCGAGGAUAUUAAUUGUGAGGAGAGGAGAAAAUUUGGUACUCCCUCCGUCCCACUUUGAUAGUCCUGUUUCUUUUUUCACACAGUUUAAGAAAAAGUAGUUAACUUUGUUGGAAAAGUAAAUUUAGAUUGCUAUUUUUCUAAAAUACCCUCACAUUAAAUAGAGUACAACUUUAUGGGAACUUGAAUUGAUGGUAAAAAAAGAAUAAACUCUCAUUAAAUGGGAUAGGUUUAUAGUAACAACUUACAUUGAAUAAGGGCAUUUUAGAAAAAUUAAAAUACAAUUACAUUCUUCAAUUGAAAAGUUGACUACAAUUUGGGACAGACGAAAAAGGAAAACAGGACUAUCAAAGUGGGACGGAGGGAGUAUUCGACAUCAUAUGUUUGGAUUUUCAAAAAAAUUUUUCGCUUGCAUCAUAAACGCAUUUCCCAAUUCACCUGUUAGGCCUUGUUUGGAAGUCAAGUUUGUUUGCUACAAGUUUUUUAAAAACUUUAGUUAUAGUAACCUCAAAAAAUUUUUCAAACUUUUUAAACUAUACAUUUCAAAAUAUUAAAGAAAACACACUUCAUAAAUUUUUUAAAAAACUUCUAUAAUAAGUUACAGUAAAGUUUUAAAUAAACACCUAAAAAACUCACAUUCCAAACGGGACAAUAUGAUUAAUUUUGAACCCAAAGGAGUCGUAGCCAAUCUAUGAUUGCUAGCUAGAAACAUUGAAGCUUUUUGGGUGCAACAACCACCAAGAAGCAUUAAGUUGUCGGUAUCCCUCUAAUCGCAAUAAUCAUCCAAUGACUUGAAAAUUAAUUUAUGUUUCUUAUUAGAAAGGAAAAUCCGAUGGAGAGUUCUACAACCCCUUUUGAGUAUUACAUACAUUGAUGAAAUUAAAUUUAUCAUUGAACUAGAAUAAGAUCUAUCAACUCUUAGAUAAUGUAGCUACUUAUGACAUUCUUUCUUUUUACCCGUUUGUUUAAGAAUCAUAUAGAACCAAGAGCAGAAGGCUGUUGCUAUGGAUCAUCACGAAGGCUGAAGCUACAAUCAAUGUAAAUGAACCGGUAUACUUCGAACGAACGAGGGACGAUAUUGUCCUGGUCCUGGUCUUGGCUUCAUUUCUAGUGGGUUGCCACUCUUGACCAGGCAACCCUGAGUCCAGAAAUGUCAACGAUCAGGGGGAGUUUUUUGUUUUUUGUUUUUUUUUGGGUCAAACGAUCAGGGGCAGUUGCGACUUGCGACGCCUUUUCCCGUGCAGGUUUUAUCCCCUUAGCAAGUGGCAACUUUCCCCUCCCAGCGGGGCAGCUGAUUACCGGGCAAUGAUUUCUAGAUUGUGAAUCGUCUUCAUUCUUGAACUGUACCUCCGAUCUUGUCCGGCAACUGCCAGAUAAAGACGGUGGGGUGUCAUUGACCACAUCAGACAAUUAAUCCCAACCGAAAUCAUUCAACUAGAUUUGCUCUAGCAGGGAAAUUGCAAAGAGAUUCAAGAAUAAGAAGUUUUGACCAAGAACACUACUACUAGUUCAUCAUGAUCAGAGUUACAAAAUGGUUGGAUUGUCAAUUCAAGAGGUAGAAAGAAAACUGAGGGAGGGCAAUAAAAGUAACUCUGUAACUAAUAUAUAAUAAAUAUUUGAAUUAGUAACCUUGAUUCAACAUAUCUCAAGAAGUGAAAAUUAGCAAUGUCAAGUUUGAUUCAAGUCUUUAUUUUAUCUUCACUCUAGACAAUUUGGUCUUCAUUUAAUCUAAUUUAGACAUUUUAGCCAACAUUUUUUGGGCUCCAGCAGAGAGACAAUUUUGAAAACUAGUCACGUUCUUCAAACAUAAAGUUGUGGAUAUCUGAUAGAUUCAAAUUAUGUGGUUCUGAAUAAGCUAUUUUCCGUUUGUCAACGCUGGAAACUUUAUGACACCCAUAAACCAUCCCAUUGAAGUUUUGAGUAAUGACUCAACCAUCCAUCCAAAUGUAUAUGUCUAUAUAUAUUAGUAGUAAGCCCAUCGGGGUGGGCUCGAUUGAUGUUGGAUAGCCUUAUUAGGUCCUGACACCGUGUGAUUGUGGUUCGAUUCCUUAUACUAUCUUGUGUAUCUUGGGAGAUGGGUGCACAAGUACAAAGAGAUUAGUUCGAAAUGAAUACUUUUGUGAUGACUGUAUAUAUAUAUAUUAGUAGUAGUAAAAUAAUAGGUUUAUUUAAGGAGAAGCAAGUGACAUAAGGUGGGCGUAGGAUUCAACAACCACAUGUGGGACCGGGCAACUCAUCGGGUGGGUGGGUGGGUGGGCGCAAGGCGUGGCUGUGCCGCUACACUGCAUGAAAUUGGAUUUUGACCCUCUUUCCCAAGAUCGGCUUCACCAUCAAGAAAUACACACUUGUCAAUUCUUAUAGCGCACUUUUUUCUUUUUUUUAGAAAAAAAAUUCUUACGACAAACUGCAACAUGUACUAUUGUUUGAGUAGUUAAAUUACCAAAUUUCAGAACCUUUGAAUCUCCACCCAAAAAAAAAAAAAAGAAAAAAACCAGAACCCUUCACUUGGAACAGCAUCUUCACCAAUCUAAUACUCAUCUUCAUCGAAAAAAUAUUGGCAUUCGAAUUAAACGAAGAGCUAUUAAUUUGGGUUGACGGUGAUUACCUAAUUUCAAUACCCACAUUUUAACAUUUAAGCCACUCAAGACCAGUCCUUACCAACUACACAAGUGCAUGCAACUCAAAAUCAAUUUGAAUCAAUUUUUGAUGAGCCAUGUGGAUAAGAGACUUGACAAUGAGAGAGUUUUUUUUUUUUUUCCUGAGCUUGACAAUGAGAGAGUUGGUGAGAUUCUUCUUGGGGCAAUUCCAAAUCCCUCAUUGGGAAUUAUAGUGGGUAUCUGGUCUUUUGCUUGAAGCGCCCUAGGUCACCAUCUCACCAACCUCCGUGCUACCCACAACCGUUGGCCAUUUUCUCCGUUUAGUGAUUUUUUUUUAAAUAAAAAAUUUGUGUGGGUUUGACUUCAAUUAUCGACACGGAUUAAUGCAUAUUGUCCCCGGAAUCAUAAGUUACGUCUUACACAUUACCCACCAAUACAAUUGUAGGUAUUUCAUUUAUCUCAGAUCAGAAAACACCUUGUUUAACCAAAUCUAGAAGAUAUCUCGGACUAAUUUGCUUUUGCCAGAACCCCACUUGGGAUGACCUAUUUAUCUGAAGUAUUAAUAGUCUCGACUUAUCUCUAUGACAUAACUGAUGAUUGAUAUGACAGUUAACCACUCUAUAAUUCAACCCUAUUGCUGACAUUGCUGUUAUGUCUUAUUUUACGUGGUCAGAUUAUCAGUAGACCUCAUCAUUUCACUCUCUAGAUCCUCUAGUAUAAAUAUUGGGAUCUUGCUCACUUGAGAGGCAUGCACUUUAACUCAUCCAAUAUAACUCUCGACAACUACUGAUUUAAGUAUCAAAGUAAAAUCGAGGGAUUUAACCCUAACUACUCCUUAUUUUGCAGGUGAACUAGUCUGACGUUUGGCCUCGGUUCGGCUCGCUAGUCCCUGCUCGCACAACAACCUUCACUUCGGCGGCGGAAAUUCGUUCUUAUUAAUUGAACCAACUUGUGUUAGCCCCUUUAGCGUGUGCAUGUAUGUUUUUUCUUUCUUUUCUUGUUUUUUAAUUAAUAUUUGUUUGGUUACGGCCACUUUCUCCGUCACUCACAACCAUGUUUUCUUUCUUUUUCUCUCUAUCGUUGACGGAUUUUAGGAGUUAGUACUAAAAAACUAUUUUCCCAUUUAAUUUAUGCAAUCUCUUUUAGUUGGGCCAUUGAUUUGUUGUGCGGCGAACCCGUCAAUAACUUUCUUGUAGUGGGGUUACAAGUAAGCUUUCUUAGGCGCGGUAGGUAAGUCCCCCAAAACAAAUUAUAUAGUCCCCCUACGGUCUCGCACUCUUUAACAUUUUUUUCCCGUUUUGUUAGGACGCAGAUCAGAUUCAUUUCGAUUAAAGUCCAACCCACUUCGAACAACACCAUACCUACAACAUCAUUGUCCUUACCACUUCUCCCAUUAGCCAGCCUGCCACCUCCUCCUCCUCCUCCUCCUCUUCCUUUUUGAAUUUCUUAUCCCACCACCCAACAUUCUUCUUCCUUCUCAACUCUUCAGGUACGUUUAAUGCAAAUUUCACGUAAUAUUUCACGUUCGAAAUCCAUUCUUCAUCACCAUUAAACUAAUCAAAGUAUGUUUAUUGCACCAUUUUCUUUUAUGUUUUUUGGGGUACAGUUGUUGUACGUGUCAAGCAAGGAUCAUACAACUUUCAACCAUGAAAAUCGAGGUGAAGGAAUCGACUAUGGUGAGACCUGCCCAAGAAACUCCUAGGAGGAACUUGUGGAACUCGAACGUGGACUUGGUGGUGCCAAAUUUCCACACCCCUAGCGUCUACUUCUAUAGGCCGACGGGAUCAUCGAAUUUCUUUGAUGCCAAAGUGCUGAAGGACGCUUUGAGCCGAGCCCUUGUCCCGUUCUACCCAAUGGCUGGUAGGUUAAAGAGAGACGAAGAUGGGCGGAUUGAGAUUGAGUGCAAUGGUGAAGGCGUGCUUUUCGUGGAGGCCGAGUCUGAUGGAGUAGUUGAUGAUUUCGGUGACUUUGCACCAACUUUAGAGCUUCGUAGACUCAUUCCUGCAGUUGAUUAUUCUCAAGGAAUAUCAAGCUACGCUCUCCUAGUGCUGCAGGUAUGCUAACUCCUUUUCAUCUUUUUUUUUUUCCGAUCAAUUUUGUAUAAAUAUAUCUGAUAAUUCGUGACUAAUUAACCUGGAUAUAUGAAUAUCCUAGUCAUAAAAUUGUGUUCACUGGUUCAAAUAAGAUAUACGUUAAUCAUCAGCUUGUGCAACAAAUCAUGGAGUUUUGCUUAAUUUAUGAGUUAAGUACUUAUUUUUAUUUGAUUACGUUCUUAGCCCUUAGGAAUUAAUGCAUUACUAAUACUUUAUGCGCUACUGCAUGGACAGAUUAAUUAUCUUUUGUUUUAGUUAUUCGUCAAAUACUUUUUUUUUUUCUCGACUCUUGAACAGUUGCACGUUAGACUUAUGAGCUCAUACGAUGUGAAAGCUUUACCUACCCUGACAAAACACAAAAGUCUGUGGAGGUUGAAUUAAACUAACAAUCAAUAAAUUUUUUUUUUUUUUGGGAAGUUUUAUGUUGAUGAAAGCAAGGUGAUCUAAACUCUGACAACGAAAUCUGGGCGUAGAUUAGACUUUAGAGCAAAACAUGUCAACUUCAUUUGGCGUGGAGAUUCAAACCUUGUACUAGUAAGUUUGUUUAGGUACUAAUUUCAGAUAUCAAGAGAAACUAAGCUAGUAAAACUUUACUCCCUCCGUUCCAUUUAUUUAGUUAUGUUUAGGGAAUCAAAUUUUUUUAAAAAUAAUGGUUUGAUUGUGAUGUUUUUUUUUUUUCAAUUUUAUCUCUACAAAUUUAAAAUAUAAAUUUGAAUGGUAACAUGUAUAUAAUUAGAAAGAAUAACUAUAUUGAAAAGAGAGACCAAAAGGUGUUUUGACUUUUCUAAUAUGAUAAUUAUUUUAAAACAUCGCAAAAUGAAAGGUACGACACUUUUAAUGUGACAGAAGGAGUAUAAGUAAGAGUAGUUGGUGAAGUCGUUUUCCUUUUGGCUUUUUUCUUUUGAAGGGUGUAUUAUAUGGCUUUGGCACCUUUUUUUUUUUUAUAGCUUGUAUUAUUGCCUAGACCAAUUUUUUUUAGGUCGAUUAAGCUUUACACAAGUGGUCUCAAGAUUGGAUGGUUUCACUAGGAAUUGUCAUUACUAGAUUAUUACCAUAUUCUUCUUGUUCUUUUCUUUUUGUUAAACGAAGCUAAAGGAAUAUGUGCCUCAUACGCUUACAGUUUUAGCAUCUGUUUAUCCUCCAAUAGGCAUUUUAUUUUUCAGUGAAUGAAGUGACUUGCCGAGGAGAGAUUUUGUUUUUUUCACCUCAACCCUAUUCUUAAAACGCCAAAUGGAAAGAAAAAGAUUCAUACUACUUUAUUAACCGACAACCUUUUUCGACUUCUGUAAUUGACAUUAUUACUUCUUUUUUUUUUUUUUUUGUAAGCAACAUUAUGAAUUCUGUGAUUAGCUAUCUUUUUGGUAAAUACAUCUCAGCCUGUUAGCUUCCCAGCUGCCAUGUAGGAGCCUUGAAUAAUCGGGUUGGUUGAGUUGGUGACAUAAUUUAUUAUCACUAGGUAUUGGUUGGAGUUGGUCAAUUUUGAUCUUGAUCGGUGACGGUGCUCAAAUUGAAGGAAAAAAAAAUCAGCUAACACUUCUGACAGCGCAUCAUAAUUUAUUUUGUCAAAUUUAGAUAUAUAGACACUAUAAUAUAGAUUUAUAGACAUUAUCAUAAUUAGAUGGGGUGGAAUAUAUGUCCAGUUAAUUUGGAAAUUGUGGACCAUCUAAUUCGUUCAAUUACAAACCUAUUUAGUAAGUCCAAUAAUGGUACAAGUAUUAAUGCGUUAUUAUUACAUUCACCUACCAGCCUACCAUUUAAGUAUUGAUACGUAACUAUUUAUUUCAUGAGGAACGGGUUGGGUGAUUCGGGAUAGGGAGUGUGAUUGAGAGGUCUCGAAUUUGAACGUUCCUGCUUGUAUUAAAAAAAAUUAAAAAAAUAUUAUACAUGUGUUUAUCUAAAUUAGACGUACACACAAUUAAUUUAGACACUUUUUAUAAUUUUAUUUUGUUUUGUAUUAAAAGAUUAAUAUCUGAAUCUCCUCUUUGGACAAACAGCUAUAUACUAGCCUUUCUAGUAAAAUUUGUGAGUUGAAACACUGAAUUCAGGUUAUGAUUUCAUACUGGGUUAGGUUGUGCUGGAAUCAUACGCACUAGGUAGCAUGUAGCAGGAUGAGAAGAGCUACACUUGUAGGUUGUUGCUAGUGAUCGAAUUCCUGUUAAGAAGAGAAUGCAGAAAAGACUAACAUGCCUUUGUUAAUUUCGAUUUGCUAUGGCUAAUAAUGUUAGUUAGCUCAUGAGAUUCUUGAUUGUAACUUUGGAUCAGGUGACAUAUUUCAAGUGUGGUGGAGUCUCUCUUGGUGUUGGCAUGCAACAUCAUGCAGCUGAUGGAUUUUCAGGUCUUCAUUUCAUCAAUUCAUGGUCUGAUAUGGCCCGUGGCCUUGAUGUGACCCUGCCACCAUUCAUAGACCGCACCCUCCUCCGUGCCCGCGAUCCGCCCCAGCCUCAAUUCCAGCACAUUGAGUACCAACCCCCUCCAACCUUAAAAGUUUCCCCGCAAACUGCAAAAUCUGACUCAGUUCCUGAAACUGCAGUGUCCAUCUUCAAGUUAACCAGGGAGCAAAUCAGUGCCCUGAAAGCCAAGUCCAAGGAAGAUGGAAACACCAUUAGCUAUAGCUCCUACGAAAUGUUGGCAGGCCAUGUAUGGCGCUGUGCUUGCAAGGCACGAGGACUCGAAGUUGAUCAAGGAACAAAAUUGUACAUUGCUACUGAUGGACGAGCAAGACUUAGGCCUUCGCUCCCGCCUGGCUAUUUUGGCAAUGUCAUCUUCACGGCAACCCCGAUAGCUAUAGCUGGUGACCUUGAAUUCAAGCCAGUCUGGUAUGCUGCAAGUAAAAUCCACGAUGCAUUGGCGAGGAUGGACAACGACUACUUAAGGUCAGCUCUUGAUUACUUGGAAUUACAGCCUGAUUUGAAGGCCCUGGUUCGUGGUGCCCAUACUUUCAAGUGUCCAAAUCUGGGGAUCACAAGCUGGGUAAGGUUACCCAUCCAUGAUGCUGAUUUUGGCUGGGGUCGGCCCAUAUUUAUGGGUCCUGGUGGUAUCGCUUAUGAAGGUUUAAGCUUUAUAUUGCCUAGUCCAACCAAUGAUGGAAGCAUGUCAGUAGCUAUUUCAUUGCAGGGCGAGCACAUGAAACUCUUCCAGAGUUUCUUGUAUGACAUUUGAACGGGAGCACAUCACAUGAAUUUUCACGCUUGUAUUAAUAGCUUUCGGGUCCGGGCCAGCUAUUCAUGCGGUGGUGGUUUCUUGAGUAAUUGUUUAAGCUUAUGAAGAACCACUGUUCUGUUUUGUACCUACGUGGACAAUAAUUCUUGUCUAAGUUCCUUGUGCAUGUAAUGAUGAUGAAAGGAUAAGGUUCAUUUCAUUUUAUUGUUUUGUCAUUUAAGUUCUAAAGCUGUAAUCUUUCUAACUUCACAAAUUCGUUAGUUAUUGUUUCUUUUUUAGUAUUUGAUGAAUUUAGGACGGUUGAUGAGAUGAAAAUAUUCUGUCCAAAUGUGCAGGCUUGGCCAAGUAAUGUCUGAAGAAAUUUUAAGCUGAAUUACCAAUCAGCGAAGGAUCAAGUGUUGUAUGGUUCCGCAGUUAAGAUUUUGACCAAAGAAUUAGCAAAACCAUCCCUCGAAUUCGCAUCUAUGGGUGCGACAGGAAAAAAAGAAAAAGAAGAAGAACUCCAAACCAGUGGCAUAACCAACAUUCAUAUGAAAAAAUUGGAGAUGAGCCAAAAUUAAGAGCUCAUGCGACAGUCUGCUCAAGGAAGAAACUUAGUAGUCCAAAUCAUAAAUAGCUGAAGACAGAGAAGUGGUGGAAACUUCUGUGGUUAUACUCCAGGGAGCAUUUAGGCAACGAGAUGAGGUAAAAUAAGAAGCAAAAAUAAGCCAAACGGGCUUUCUAGGACUGAUGCUGCAGCCUUCUCACCAGGCCUUCGAUGGACUACAUUUGCACCGCCAUAGGUUCCCCUCC
This 42717-nucleotide long non-coding RNA is filed under the name Coffea arabica (coffee). RNAcentral's name for it is "long non-coding RNA (CARA_LNC003065)". Lineage: Eukaryota; Viridiplantae; Streptophyta; Magnoliopsida; Gentianales; Rubiaceae. The record is from RNAcentral.